UACGUAGGAUGCGAGCGUUAUCCGGAUUUAUUGGGUUUAAAGGGUGCGUAGGCGGGAUGCCAAGUCAGCGGUAAAAAUGCGGUGCUCAACGCCGUCGAGCCGUUGAAACUGGCGUUCUUGAGUGGGCGAGAAGUAUGCGGAAUGCGUGGUGUAGCGGUGAAAUGCAUAGAUAUCACGCAGAACUCCGAUUGCGAAGGCGGCAUACCGGCGCCCUACUGACGCUGAGGCACGAAAGCGUGGGUAUCGAACAGG
Molecule: ribosomal RNA, 252 nt
Filed under: uncultured bacterium
Lineage: Bacteria
Description: partial 16S ribosomal RNA
Rfam family: Bacterial small subunit ribosomal RNA
Source: RNAcentral